GAUGAAGAACGUAGCGAAAUGCGAUACGUAAUGUGAAUUGCAGAAUUCAGUGAAUCAUCGAAUCUUUGAACGCAUAUUGCGCUCUCUGGUAUUCCGGAGAGCAUGCUUGUUUGAGUAUCAGUAAACACCUCAACUCCCUUUUCUUUUUUGAAAUUGGAGCUGGACUUGAGUGAUCCCAACGCUUUCUUCCAAGAAAGUGGCGGGUUGCUUGAAAUGCAGGUGCAGCUGAACUUUUCUCUGAGCUAUAAGCAUAGCUAUUUAGUCUGCCUAAAAAACAGAUUAUUACCUUUGCUGCAGCUAACAUAAAGGAGACUAGUUCUUGUGCUGACUGAUGCAGGAUUCACAGAGACAGCUUCGGCUGACUUUGUAAACUCGAUCUCAAAUCAAGUAAGACUACCCGCUGAACUUAAGCAUAUCAAUAAGCGGAGGA
RNAcentral lists this unclassified non-coding RNA (430 nucleotides) under soil metagenome. RNAcentral describes it as "partial contains 5.8S ribosomal RNA, internal transcribed spacer 2, and large subunit ribosomal RNA". The stretch from base 1 to 120 matches the Rfam family "5.8S ribosomal RNA", at positions 35 to 154 of the family's 154-position model. The record is from RNAcentral.